GGCAGACUAUCUCGCUACCCUACAAAGGCAAAUAACAUCUAUUGCCCAAGUUUCAUUAUAGAACCAUGGAGCCCUAGAUCUCCUGAUGGCAGACAAAGGAGGAACCUGUCUAUUCCUGAAAGAAGAAUGCUGCUACUAUAUCAAUGAAACUGGAUUGGUCGAAAAGAAUGUCAACACCCCUGUCGUUUGGGUGAAAGGCUUAAACAGCAACAAUCAAAGGAUCCUUGGCCAGGCUGGCUAAACUCAACCCUCAUUAUGUGGCUGACUCCCAUUCUCACUCCUAUAUUAGUCAUAGGGCUUCUAUUAAUGAUUGCUCCCUGCCUCCUCGGGUUC
Molecule: long non-coding RNA, 333 nt
Filed under: Marmota monax (woodchuck)
Lineage: Eukaryota; Metazoa; Chordata; Mammalia; Rodentia; Sciuridae
Source: RNAcentral